RNAcentral lists this ribosomal RNA (303 nucleotides) under uncultured bacterium. RNAcentral's name for it is "bacterial SSU rRNA". It matches the Rfam family "Bacterial small subunit ribosomal RNA", at positions 28 to 334 of the family's 1533-position model. The record is from RNAcentral.
GACGAACGCUGGCGGCGUGCUUAACACAUGCAAGUCGAGCGGAAAGGCCACUUCGGUGGUACUCGAGCGGCGAACGGGUGAGUAACACGUGAGUAAUCUGCCCCUGGCUUUGGGAUAGCCACCGGAAACGGUGAUUAAUACCGGAUAUGACCACGUACUGCAUGGUGUGUGGUGGAAAGUUUUUCGGCCAGGGAUGUGCUCGCGGCCUAUCAGCUUGAUGGUGAGGUAAUGGCUCACCAUGGCUUCGACGGGUAGCCGGCCUGAGAGGGUGACCGGUCACACUGGGACUGAGACACGGCCCAG